UGCUAAGCAGGCUCCAUGCCCAGCACAGAGCCUGACAUGGGGCUUGAUCCCAGGACCCUGAGAUCAUGACGUGAGCUGAAAUCAAGCAUCAGACACUCAAAUGACUGAGCUACCAGGUACCCCAUUAACUUUAUCCCUUAAUGCAGUCUCACCUGGGGUAGGGCUCCAACAUAGAAAUAUUUGGAGGACAUAAUUCAGUUUAUAACACUGUGUGAAAAGAAGAAAGCAUUUGACAGUAUACAACACACCUUCUUGAUGGAAAACACUCGAUAAACUAGAAGUAGAAGGAAACUUAGGCCCAUAAUGAGUAUUUACAAAAUACUUGCAGCUAGCAUCAUGUUUGAAGGUGAAAGACUGGAAACCUUCCUCCGGAUCAGGAACAAGACAAGGGUGUAUACUCUUGCCACUUCUAUUUAACAUUAUUCUGGAGGUUUUAUGCAGACCAAUUAGGCAAGAAAAUAAAAAGUAGCCAGAUCAGAAAAGAAGAAGUAACUAUACCUAUUUAUAGAUGAAAUGAUUUGUAUAUAGAAAAUCCUAAAAUCAGAACUAAUCCCAAUAAAAUCAGAACUAAUAAAUGAGUUCAGCAUGGUUUCAGGAUUCAAGAUCAAGGUACAAAAAUCAAUUUUAUAACUAUGCACUAUUAAUAAAUAACCCAAACAUGAUAAUAUAGUGGGCUGGAUUGUGUAUCCCCUGCCAAAAUUGAUUUUUGACAAAAGUGCCAAGAUAAUUUGGUAUUGAAAGUACAAUCUCUUCAACAGAUGUGUCACUGGGUCACUGGAUACCCACAUGCAAAUGAAUAAUUUGGAUUCCUACAUGACACCAUAUAAAAAGUUGCUUCUACAUUUUGCUGUUUCCUUGGCUAUGCAAAAGUUUUUAAGGUGGAUAUCCAGUUUUCCCAGCACCAUUUGUUGAAGAGAGAGUAUCCUUUCCCCGUUGUGUAGCUCUGGCAACCUGGUCAAAGAUCAUUUAAUCAUCUACAUGGCUAUGCAUUUUUUUUUCUGUCUAUUCUAUUCCCUUGGUCUGUGUAUCUAGUUUUGUUUUGUUUUUAAGAUUUUAUUUAUUUAUUCAUGAGAGACAGAGAGAGAGAAAGGCAGAGGCACAGGCAGAGGGAGAAGCAAGCUCCAUGCAGGGAGCCUGACCUGGGACUCGAUUCCAGGUCUCCAGGAUCACGCCCUGGGCUGAAGGCAGUGCUAAACCGGUGAGCCACCCGGGCUGCCCUGUGUAUCUAGUUUUGUAUCAGAAACAUGCUGUUUUAAUUAUCAUAACAUUAUACUAUGUUUUGAAAUCAAGAAGUGUGAAGAUGUUAGUUUUGUUUCGUUUUGUUUUUCUGUUAGGAUUGUUUUGGCUAUUUG
This is a long non-coding RNA of Canis lupus familiaris (dog), 1352 nucleotides long. RefSeq lists it as uncharacterized. The record is from RefSeq and is a predicted model, not a curated record. The transcript has 3 exons. NCBI's taxonomy places the organism in Eukaryota, Metazoa, Chordata, Mammalia, Carnivora, Canidae.